UCCCUAUAAUCUCCAUAUUACAGAAGAAAGAACAGAGACUCAGAAAAGUCAGAUGAUUUGCCUAUAGUUACACAGCUAAUAAGCACAGAAAGUGGAAUUUAAACACUGGCUUUUCCUGACACCAAGAUCAACAUGUAUGUCAUGCUAUGACAUUCUGCCUGGUAGUGACAAAGGAACUUCAAAAGGGAAGGAAGGAUGUCAGUGAGUGAUCAUGGAAAGAUUUCCUAGAGAAAAUAAACUAAUGCUUAGUCUUGUAGAAUAAGGAUGUAUUAUAAUAAGGAUAAUCUAGAAACAAAAUGGUCAAUUUAUCUUCUCCUAGGAUGACUGCAAUUAAAACUGUCUGUGUGUCUCGUCUCUGUGUUUCUUUUUCUUUUCUCUCUCUCUCCUUUUCUCUCUCUCUCUCUCCCAUAAUUCACUGAACUUUUCACUGGGUUCCUAUCAUAUUUAUGGAACUAUGCAAAGUAUCUCAUUAGCUUAGAUGAGGUAUUUUGCUUCAUUAAUCCAGAUUAAUUAUUAUUAAAUAGGUGAUACAGUAGAUAGAUUACUACACUUACAGUCAGGAAGACAUGAAUUCAAAUUUUCCUUUAGACACUUACUAUUUGUGUCUCCCUGGGCAAAUAACCUCUUUCUACCUCACUUUCCCUAUAUGCAAAAAUGAGGAUAAUAACAAUAUGGUGAGGAUAAAAUGAGGGUAUUUUAUAAAGCACUUUGAAAUUCUUAACAUGCUAUAUAAGUGCUAGCUAUUACUAUUGACAACAAUGAUAAUAACAGUUCACUCAUAUAACACUUUUCAGAUAUAUUCAUUUGAUCAUCAAAACGGAUGUGAAUUGGGCAAAUGUUCUUAGGCCUAUUUUACAAAUAAGGAAAAUCAGUCUCAGAGAUGUUGUUAGCACUAUGUCUGGCACAUAGUAGAAGCAUGGGGACAACUAAUUAUAGAAUCACGGAAUUUCAGCUUGACUCCUGCAUUUUAUAUAUGAAGAAACUGAGGUUGUGAAAAGUGACUUGUCCAUGGUCACAGAGAUCUUUAGUGGCAAAGCUGGGAAUAAAAUGGGUGAUUCAUUAGAAAGGUGCCAUGGUUAAAAAAGAGGUAGAUAGUUUGUUAAGGAAUCAGAAAACAUU
RNAcentral lists this long non-coding RNA (1119 nucleotides) under Sarcophilus harrisii (Tasmanian devil). RNAcentral describes it as "lncRNA (ENSSHAG00000021997.1)". The record is from RNAcentral. Lineage: Eukaryota; Metazoa; Chordata; Mammalia; Dasyuromorphia; Dasyuridae.